RNAcentral lists this ribosomal RNA (306 nucleotides) under Escherichia coli. RNAcentral's name for it is "partial 23S ribosomal RNA". It matches the Rfam family "Bacterial large subunit ribosomal RNA", at positions 165 to 509 of the family's 2925-position model. The record is from RNAcentral. Lineage: Bacteria; Pseudomonadati; Pseudomonadota; Gammaproteobacteria; Enterobacterales; Enterobacteriaceae.
CAUAGGUUAAUGAGGCGAACCGGGGGAACUGAAACAUCUAAGUACCCCGAGGAAAAGAAAUCAACCGAGAUUCCCCCAGUAGCGGCGAGCGAACGGGGAGGAGCCCAGAGCCUGAAUCAGUGUGUGUGUUAGUGGAAGCGUCUGGAAAGGCGCGCGAUACAGGGUGACAGCCCCGUACACAAAAAUGCACAUACUGUGAGCUCGAUGAGUAGGGCGGGACACGUGGUAUCCUGUCUGAAUAUGGGGGGACCAUCCUCCAAGGCUAAAUACUCCUGACUGACCGAUAGUGAACCAGUACCGUGAGGG